CCUACGGGAGGCAGCAGUGAGGAAUAUUGGUCAAUGGACGAGAGUCUGAACCAGCCAAGUAGCGUGAAGGAUGACUGCCCUAUGGGUUGUAAACUUCUUUUAUAUGGGAAUAAAACGUUCCACGUGUGGGAUUUUGUAUGUACCAUAUGAAUAAGGAUCGGCUAACUCCGUGCCAGCAGCCGCGGUAAUACGGAGGAUCCGAGCGUUAUCCGGAGUUAUUGGGUUUAAAGGGAGCGUAGGUGGAUUGUUAAGUCAGUUGUGAAAGUUUGCGGCUCAACCGUAAAAUUGCAGUUGAAACUGGCAGUCUUGAGUACAGUAUAGGUGGGCGGAAUUCGUGGUGUAGCGGUGAAAUGCUUAGAUAUCACGAAGAACUCCGAUUGCGAAGGCAGUUCACUGGACUGCAACUGACACUGAGGCUCGAAAGUGUGGGUAUCAAACAGGAUUAGAUACCCGAGUAGUC
This 460-nucleotide ribosomal RNA is filed under the name uncultured bacterium. RNAcentral's name for it is "partial 16S ribosomal RNA". It matches the Rfam family "Bacterial small subunit ribosomal RNA", at positions 338 to 795 of the family's 1533-position model. The record is from RNAcentral.